This is a non-coding RNA of Myotis brandtii (Brandt's bat), 74 nucleotides long. The record is from Rfam. NCBI's taxonomy places the organism in Eukaryota, Metazoa, Chordata, Mammalia, Chiroptera, Vespertilionidae.
GGCAGUUCUUGGGUGAUGCACCUGAAAUCGGGUUCCCUCCUCUUUGGUUCCAGGUGCAUUACUUGAGAACCGCA